AACUUUUAGUACAUCGGGUCGUGUGCUUGAUGGCUUUCGGAGUUCUUUAACUCCAAAAGUAGUGGAAGCUUUGAUUUGCACUCAAGAUUGGUUGAGAGCCGCUCGUGUACCGCUUGAUGUUGAAGAGUGUAUUGAGAACGCCGAACAAUUUGAGUUGGAUAUGGUUGGUCUUAAUGCGGAGAUUAUGAUCGAUAAAUAAAGUUGGUGGUAUCGCACUUGCAAUGGAUCCAACGGUUGAGAAGUCAAGCAAGGUUUUGCUGUGCCAAAGAAAUCACAUGGAAAUGUUGCAGAGUUCACACUAUGGAGUAGAUGAAAAUUUGAGAUCUUAUUGGCACUUCUGGUUUUUCAUCUCUUUAGAAACUUCUUUGGAAACUUCUUAUUAGUUUUGAUUA
Eucalyptus grandis is the source of this 392-nucleotide long non-coding RNA. RefSeq lists it as uncharacterized. Lineage: Eukaryota; Viridiplantae; Streptophyta; Magnoliopsida; Myrtales; Myrtaceae. The record is from RefSeq and is a predicted model, not a curated record. The transcript has 3 exons.